Long non-coding RNA from Portunus trituberculatus (swimming crab), 175 nucleotides. RefSeq lists it as uncharacterized. The transcript is spliced from 2 exons. Lineage: Eukaryota; Metazoa; Arthropoda; Malacostraca; Decapoda; Portunidae. The record is from RefSeq and is a predicted model, not a curated record.
AGCAUCAUUGAUAUGUCAGUAUUUUUAAAAGGUUUCUUGGUUUUAAAAUUAAUUACAGGAAAUUAGAUUGGAAUAUAUUGACACACAAAAUAAUAUACAAGUUGCGCUCUCUCUCUCUCUCUCUCUCUCUCUCUCUCUCUCUCUCUCUCUCUCUCUCUCUCUCUCUCUCUCUCUC